GACGAACGCUGGCGGCGUGCUUAACACAUGCAAGUCGAACGCUGAAGCCCUUCGGGGUGGAUGAGUGGCGAACGGGUGAGUAACACGUGGGUAAUCUGCCCUGCACUCUGGGAUAAGCCUUGGAAACGGGGUCUAAUACCGGAUAGGACACAUCGCCGCAUGGUGUGUGUGUGGAAAGUUCCGGCGGUGCAGGUUGAGCCCGCGGCCUAUCAGCUUGUGGGUGGGGUGAUGGCCUACCAAGGCGACGACGGGUAGCCGGCCUGAGAGGGUGACCGGCCACACUGGGACUGAGACACGGCCCAGACUCCUACGGGAGGCAGCAGUGGGGAAUCUUGCGCAAUGGGCGAAAGCCUGACGCAGCAACGCCGCGUGGGGGAUGACGGCCUUCGGGUUGUAAACCUCUUUCGACCGGGACGAAGGAUUCGUUUGACGGUACCGGUAGAAGAAGCACCGGCUAACUACGUGCCAGCAGCCGCCGUAA
This 481-nucleotide ribosomal RNA is filed under the name uncultured bacterium. Its description in RNAcentral is "partial 16S ribosomal RNA". It matches the Rfam family "Bacterial small subunit ribosomal RNA", at positions 28 to 523 of the family's 1533-position model. The record is from RNAcentral.